This is a long non-coding RNA of Pecten maximus, 1358 nucleotides long. RefSeq lists it as uncharacterized. Lineage: Eukaryota; Metazoa; Mollusca; Bivalvia; Pectinida; Pectinidae. The record is from RefSeq and is a predicted model, not a curated record. The transcript is spliced from 2 exons.
CCUCUUUUUGAAUCAAAAUUGAAUGAUGAUUUUAGUAAUCAAUCAUUACUGUUUAAAUUGCAAUUCAUGUUUGUAAAACUUCAAUAAUAAUCAUGACAUUCAUAUCUUUUCAAAUUUAGAUAUCCAACCAAUUUAUAAUAAUGCUUAAAGUAUUGCUUCAUUUAUAUAUUUUACACAUGUAUUUAUAAAAUCCUCUUUAUUAAAGUUAUCAGUGAAUAUAUUAUGAUAUAUUUUUGUUAGUAUAAUCAGUUGUUUCUAGGAGUGAUAUUCAUUCUAAGGGUAACCUGCAAAUUAUGUGAAUUGAAUUUCCAUCAGUGCAAAUUUCAGCAAAAUAUAUGUUGAAGCCUUAUUAUCAAAAACCUUUCCAACACCAAUAUGUGUAAACAAACAAAAGGAGAGCAUAUGUUAUCAGUAGACUGGCCCAGCUUGACCAAGGUAAUAUGAUACCAAUUCAAGCUGAUGAGUACAGGAAGUCCAUGCCAGUCAGACUCCAGACACCAUGGGGCCAACCCUGGGGUAUAAGGUUCAUUUCUAACUGACUGUAUUGUGACUUAUUUGAUGAUUUAUUUCAGUAAUAAAUACAUAAAAUGAAACAAUAUUGUAAAAGUAACUUCAAUGCAAUUUUAUAGUAUUUUAAAAAGCAUCUGUUGAACUCACAAAUCUUCAUUUUUAUUAAGUCUGUAUGAAUGAAAAACCUUUCCUGUGCCCCAACUUAAGAUUGACCAAUGUAAAACAAGGUCCCCACUUUGAAUUGAGUUUCCUGUGGCUGCAUGUGGACAUUUUGCAUCUCUGUGAAUCAGUAUAAAUUGUCCUAUCAAUCACUUCUGGAAAUAGAAUCAACUUCUGUCAUUCUGGACAUGGUAAGGAUAUGUGCAACCUAUCUACAUCUGCAUGUUGAAAGUUCUGUAAAUAAGUUACAUAAACAAACAGAAGAUGGACUCAGUGAAGUGAUCCAGAUGAAGAUUUCCAAGGGUCAACAAUAAAUGCACAAAUGCAAAAAGAUACAGUGAGCUCUGAAGUGGACGGAAAUGACAGGAAGAGUUAAAAGAUAUUGUAACUGUACUGAAAAAAGAACUGGUAUUAUCAACAUAUGAUGAAUAUUCUACCGAAUGCCAACAAAAACUAUAAGCCAUUAUUGCAGUGACAACAGAGAUUAACAAUGAUAAGAAAAACAUUCAUGAACUAGAAAUUAAAUAACCUUUGAGGUAUUGUUAUGUAAGUGUGCAUUAAUGAUUUAGUUUAAAAGAAUAUGGAAUAAAAUAUAGAUGUUUGUAUAUAAAGUUCGUAUCUAUAAGGUGUUUUAUUGUAACAGCAUGCCGUACUGCUCUGAAUGAUAGAAAUACAGACUUUUACAUUAA